Molecule: long non-coding RNA, 472 nt
Organism: Phyllostomus hastatus (greater spear-nosed bat)
Lineage: Eukaryota; Metazoa; Chordata; Mammalia; Chiroptera; Phyllostomidae
Exons: 3
Source: RefSeq, a predicted model, not a curated record
CUUUGCUUCCUGUCUGAGCUCUUUCUAACAUGAAGUGUUUAUUGUUUUAGGACCUGUUUGCUGCCUGCACAAAUGGAACCUGGAAGUUUAAAAAUGCUUAGGCUCUGGUGCUUGGAUCUAACCCAGAAGAAAGCAAUCUUAAAAACUAGAACUGGUUUCUGCUAACAUCAUAGGUACAGAAAGUUGAGGAAUCACAUAUGGACAAAAUAUGACUGAUACCAAGGGCUUUGACAUGCACAGAAAACUGAGAAGGGUAAGCAAAUUUUCAAGAAAAUCUCUCAUGAGGCAUCUGGGAGCAUUUGCCAGCUGCUGAGCAUGGGCAUAAUUGUGUGCAAUGACCACAUCUAAUUGCCUCCCAGCAACAACCGAAGCUCCACGAAUGGAUACCCACUGUGUGGCUGAGCACUGAGAUUCUGCCAAGGAUAAUGAGUCCACUUAAUCUCAUUGGAGAGGAGACUGGUAAUUAUGAACA